GUGCUCACUUCAGCAGCACAUAUACUAAAAUUGGAAUACAGGGAAAAUUAGCAUGGCCCCUGUGCAAGGAUGACACACAAAUUCAUGAAGCGUUCCAUGUUUAA
Molecule: small nuclear RNA, 104 nt
Organism: Cercocebus atys (sooty mangabey)
Lineage: Eukaryota; Metazoa; Chordata; Mammalia; Primates; Cercopithecidae
Source: Ensembl